RNAcentral lists this ribosomal RNA (489 nucleotides) under uncultured bacterium. RNAcentral's name for it is "bacterial SSU rRNA". It matches the Rfam family "Bacterial small subunit ribosomal RNA", at positions 28 to 514 of the family's 1533-position model. The record is from RNAcentral.
GAUGAACGCUAGCGGCAGGCCUAAUACAUGCAAGUCGAACGAUAGUAUUAAGCUUGCUUAAUAUGAAAGUGGCGCACGGGUGCGUAACGCGUAUGAAACCUACCUUAAUCAGGGGGAUAGCCUUUCGAAAGAAAGAUUAAUACCGCAUAAUAUCACGAUGGGGCAUCCUGUUGUGAUCAAAUAUUUAUAGGAUUAAGAUGGUCAUGCGUGACAUUAGCUAGUUGGAGAGGUAAUGGCUCACCAAGGCGACGAUGUCUAGGGGAUCUGAGAGGAUGGCCCCCCACACUGGUACUGAGACACGGACCAGACUCCUACGGGAGGCAGCAGUAAGGAAUAUUGGUCAAUGGACGAAAGUCUGAACCAGCCAUGCCGCGUGCAGGAAGACGGCCCUACGGGUUGUAAACUGCUUUUAUUCGGGAAUAAAUCUUUCUACGUGUAGGGAGUUGAAUGUACUGAAAGAAUAAGGAUCGGCUAACUCCGUGCCAGCAG